UUUGUUUUCUGUUUUGGAGACCUCACUCAGAUUGCUUACAAUGAUAUUUUAGGAGCUCUAAAAGAUGAGUGUCUAAAAUUACUGCAAAAUAUUAUCAGGCUCUUUUUAAUAGUAUGGUUCAAAAAUAAAACUCCUUUCAGAUUAGGAUCUUGUGGUCUUUCAUUGAGAUUUUCAUAGCUGACAUGGGGAUUUAGCUACCCAACUCCCAUUAAUUUAAAUGGGGAUUGAGAACUAAAAGUGUGGCAGAUGUCAGGGCUGAUGGUUCUCUUCUCCAGCUAGCUCUUAGGGCAGGUCUAUACUACGGGGUUAAGUCGACCUAAGUUAUGCAACUCCAGUGACAUGAAUAAUGUAGCUGAAGUCGACGUAGCUUCGGUCAACUUACUGCAGUGUCUAUGCUGCGCUGGGUUGACGGGAGAGCGAUCGGCGGUCGAUUUUUAGCAGUUCUUCACUAGACCCACUGAAUUGACCCCCGGUGGAUCGAUCGCCGCAGCGUUGAUUCACGGUAAGUGUAGACAAGCCCUUAGUUUUCUUUCCUCCCAUGCCUUUUCUCACGUGUAUAACUACAAAGAAUCAGGCAACUAUUUUGUGUUACCUCUGCUCUCCUUUUGAGAGCGCAAGUCCAGCCACAGGAAUGUCCUUAAUGGGGGCAGGGUGAUGGCACAAGACAUGGCUCUUGAUGUAACCUAUUGAAGGAAGGUUCCUCAAAGUAUUGGAAUGUAAAGGAUUUCUAAGGUCCCUCUUACUGUGGUGUGUAAGAGCUAAUAAAAUAGAGAGGGGUUGCUGGGAAGACUGGAGAUCAUCCUUAUCUUCACAUAUUAAUCACCUUAAGUAGGCACUUGUCAAGUUUCAUUUUUCUAGCCUUAAAUUCCUCUGUUUGGACUCUUCCCAAAUGCAUACACCUUUAUGUAUUCAAAUGAGCAACUAUCACUGUCAUGCUGUGGAUAUCUAUUUUAGAAUCUUGGAAAAAAUAAGAGGAAAAUUUUAAUUUUUGUAUUUUCCGCUAUUAAUUUUUUUAAAAACUAGCUAUACCAAAUUUAUUCUAAGAGCAGCAUAAUACCUUGGUAUAUUACACCAUUGCCUGAUUGAACAAAUGUGCUUGAAUAAAUUCCUUUAAAAUUUACACAGCUUGUUGCAGGGUUUAGUUCCAAUAUAGUAAAAUGAAGCUGUAUAUGAAAGUGAGUCCUUAUUCUUUAAAAUUUAGUUGAAAUAUGUGUUCUGUACCCAUUACACACACCAUUUUCCACGAACUUCAUGGAGAUACAUAUAUAAUUAAUAUAUAUUAAUAGUCUAAUAAUAAUGUAGAAAUCAUGCUCUGUUAAAUGGCCACGUUGGAAAUAAAACCCACAAGAACUCUGAAGAUGAGGAUGAACACUUGGCUUGUAAGAGUACAAUAUAAACAAAAGUAUUGGAUCACUCUCACCAUAUAUGUAAACAUUCUGAUGUUCAGUUGGUACAGACUGUAAAUGGACAUUCAAACUGAACUUGAAGUAAAUUUUAUGCUUAUUGAAAAAAGCUGAAAAACAUAUUUUCUCCUCUGUUCCUAAGGGUUUUAAACAUUUGGCCAGGAAUGCUUGAUCAGAGCUAAAAUUUAACACGUAAAAUUGUCAAUGAGGCAUUCUCAGACUUUUGCUGUUAGUAUGGCUUCCCUUUUUUUUUGUGGUUUUUUUUUAAACAAAGGGGUUUUUUUAGUGUCGAGGCACAUGUUUUGAACUCAUUACAAAUGGAUAGUUUUAAGUUUUGUAGGAUUAGUCCAUAAUACUGUUUCUAAAAUGUUCAGUUCAUUGUUGAAAAGCUAACUGAGAUGCUAAUUACUUUUGAAAUUUGUAAGUGAGACAGGUAGAUGUAUCUGGUGUAUUUUAAAUACAUACCAUGGAUUAAAUAAGAUUGGUCCCAAGACCAAUCCCUGAGGAACACCACUACUAACCUGCUUCCAGCCUGACAGUUCACCUUUCAGUAUGACCAGUUAUAGUAUAACCAGUUCCUUAUCCACUUUUCAGUUCUCCUAUUAAUCCCCAUCUUAUCCAGUUAAACUAAAAUUUCCCAUGUGGAACUGUAUCAAAUGCCUUACUGAAAUCCAGGUAGAUUAGAUCUACUGCAUUUCCUUUGUCUAAAAAAAAAAAAAAGUUAUCUUCUCAUAGUAGAUCAGGUUGGUCUGGCAUGAUCUAUCUUUUGUAAAACCAUGUUGUACUUUAUUCCAGUUACCAUUCAUUUCUGUGUCCUGUGAUAGGGUCAGGCCAGAUGGCUACAGAAGGCAGAUACAUUAGUCCCAGAUUAAGUAGAUCCCUGUUCCCAGGAUAAGGUAACAGGGGCAGUUCCAGAACAAGGAGGAACUUGCUGGAACCAGUGAAGGCAGGCAGGCUAAUUAGGACAUCUGGAGCCAAUUAAGAAGAAGCUGCUAGAAUUGAUUAGGACAGGCUGGCUAAUCAGGGCACCUGGGUUUAAAAAGGACCUCCCUUCAGUUAGGGAGAGGCGCGUAAGGAGCUGGGAGUCAGAGGAUGUGCUGCUGGAGGGCUGAGGAGUACAAGCGUUAUCAGACACCAGGAGGAAGGUCCUGUGGUGAGGAUAAAAAAGGUGUUGGGAGGAGGAAGGGAAGUAGCUUAGGGAGUUAAAGCUGUUACAUAACUGUUACAAGAGGCACUCUAGACAGCUACAAUCCACAGGGCCCUAGGCUGGAACCGGGAAUACAGGGUGGGCCCGGGUUCCCCCCAAACCUCCCAGACACAAGAGGAGUUGACCUGGACUUUGGGUUCCACCAGAGGGGAAGGUCUCUGGGCUGUUCCCUGACCCACAUGGUGGAUCAGCAGAGACUGUGGGGGUUGUUCGUCUCCUUUUCCCCAUGCUGGCCAGUGAUGAGGUUGUCUGAGCGAACGGCAGAUUUAGCCACAAAAGCAGCCAAACUGAGGGCUGCUGUGAAUCUCUGAGGCGAGCAAAUUCACCAGUAAGCACAGGACCCACCAAGGUAGAGGAGGAACUUUGUCACAAUCCUUAACAACUUUUUCUUUCAAAAUUUGUUCCAAGACUUUGCAUGCAAUUGAGGUCAAACUAACUGCCCUGUAGUUUCCUGGGUCACUUUUUUCCCUUUCUUAAAAAUAGGAACUAUAUUAGCAAUUCUCCAUUCAUAGGGUAUGACCCCCAAGUGUAUAGAUUCAUUAAAAGUCCUUCCUAGGGUUUGCAAUUUCAUGUGCCAGUUCCUUUAAUAUUAUUAAUGGAGAUUAUCCAAGCCCCCUGAGUUAGUCCCAUUAAGAUGUUUGAGCUUGACUUCCACCUCAGAUGUGAUAAUUUCUAUAUCCAUAUCCUCAUUCCCAUUAGCCACUCUGUCACUACCUUCAAGAUCUUAAUUAAUCUUACUGAAAACUGAGGCAAAGUAUUUGUUUACGUGUUAGGCCAUGCCCAGAUUAUCUUUAAUCUCUACCCUGUCUUCAGUGGUUAGCAGUUCCACUUCUUGUUUUCUUUUUAUUUAUAUGCUAUGGAACCUUUUACUAUUGGUUUUAAUUGCCUUUGCAAGGUCCAACUCUGCUUGGCGUUUGAUCAUCAUAAUCUUGCCUUCAUUCUUCCUCUCUAGGAACAGGCAGAAUCCCACUGAAAUCACUUGAGCCUCCAUUUCCUUAAGUGUUUUCCACAGCUUCCCUUGAUAUGUUCCAGAGAGAAUUUAGCUGUAUCAUUUGUUCCCACAAUGAAGGAUAAUCAGUGGAUUCUUUCCUGCUCCCAUUAGGAUCCUCUUCAGCCUCAGGUCCACAUCCUGUAUCUUAGCCCUGGUCUACACUAGGACUUUAGGUCGAAUUUAGCAGCCUUAAAUCGAUGUAAACCUGCACCCGUCCACACAAUGAAGCCCUUUAUUUCGACUUAAAGGGCUCUUAAAAUCGAUUUCCUUACUCCACCCCUGACAAGUGGAUUAGCGCUUAAAUCGACGUUGCCGGCUCGAAUUUGGGGUACUGUGGACACAAUUCGAUGGUAUUGGCCUCCGGGAGCUAUCCCAGAGUGCUCCAUUCUGACCGCUCUGGACAGCAGUCUCAACUCAGAUGCACUGGCCAGGUAGACAGGAAAAGAACCGCGAACUUUUGAAUCUCAUUUCCUGUUUGGCCAGCGUGGCAAGCUGCAGGUGACCAUGCAGAGCUCAUCAGCACAGGUGACCAUGAUGGAGUCCCAGAAUCGCAAAAGAGCUCCAGCAUGGACCGAACGGGAGGUACGGGAUCUGAUCGCUGUUUGGGGAGAGGAAUCCGUGCUAUCAGAACUCCGUUCCAGUUUUCGAAAUGCCAAAACCUUUGUGAAAAUCUCCCAGGGCAUGAAGGACAGAGGCCAUAACAGGGACCCGAAGCAGUGCCGUGUGAAACUGAAGGAGCUGAGGCAAGCCUACCAGAAAACCAGAGAGGCGAACAGCCGCUCUGGGUCAGAGCCCCAAACAUGCCGCUUCUAUGAUGAGCUGCAUGCCAUUUUAGGAGGUUCAGCCACCACUACCCCAGCCAUGUUGUUUGACUCCUUCAAUGGAGAUGGAGGCAAUACGGAAGCAGGUUUUGGGGAUGAAGAAGAUGAUUGAUGAUGAGGAGGUUGUAGAUAGCUCACAGCAAACAAGCGGAGAAACCGGUUUUCCCGACAGCCAGGAACUGUUUCUCACCCUGGACCUGGAGCCAGUACCCCCCGAACCCACCCAAGGCUGCCUCCUGGACCCAGCAGGCGGAGAAGGGACCUCUGCUGCAUGUGUUUCAAUGAUCACAGGAUCUUCUCCUUCCCAGAGGCUAGUGAAGCUUAGAAAGAAAAAAAAACGCACUCGCGAUGAAAUGUUCUCUGAGCUCAUGCUGUCCUCCCACACUGACAGAGCACAGACGAAUGCGUGGAGGCAAAUAAUGUCAGAGUGCAGGAAAGCACAAAAUGACCGGGAGGAGAGGUGGCGGGCUGAAGAGAGUAAGUGGCGGGCUGAAGACAGGGCUGAAGCUCAAAUGUGGCGGCAGCGUGAUGAAAGGAGGCAGGAUUCAAUGCUGAGGCUGCUGCAGGACCAAACCAGUAUGCUCCAGUGUAUGGUUGAGCUGCAGUGAAGGCAGCUGGAGCACAGACUGCCACGGCUGCCCCUGUGUAACCAACCGCCCUCCUCCCCAAGUUCCAUAGCCUCCACACCCAGACGCCCAAGAACGCGGUGGGGGGGCCUCCAGCCAACCAGCCACUCCACCACAGAGGACUGCCCAAAAAAAAGAAGGCUGUCAUUCAAUAAAUUUUAAAGUUGUAAACUUUUAAA
Molecule: long non-coding RNA, 5227 nt
Organism: Caretta caretta (loggerhead turtle)
Lineage: Eukaryota; Metazoa; Chordata; Testudines; Cheloniidae
Source: RefSeq, a predicted model, not a curated record